RNAcentral lists this ribosomal RNA (450 nucleotides) under uncultured Glomeromycotina. RNAcentral's name for it is "SSU rRNA". It matches the Rfam family "Eukaryotic small subunit ribosomal RNA", at positions 569 to 1021 of the family's 1831-position model. The record is from RNAcentral. Lineage: Eukaryota; Fungi; Glomeromycota.
AGCAGCCGCGGUAAUUCCAGCUCCAAUAGCGUGUAUUAAAGUUGUUGCAGUUAAAAAGCUCGUAGUUGAAUUUCGGGGUUUAUCCGUCGGUCGGGCUUUCGGGUCUGUACUGGCGUGAUGGAUUCCUACCUUCUGAAUAACCGGCAUGUCAUUAAUUUGGUGCGCCGGGGAAGCAGGACUGUUACCUUGAAAAAAUUAGAGUGCUUAAAGCAGGCUUAUGCCUGAAUACAUUAGCAUGGAAUAAUGAAAUAGGACGGCAUGGUUCUAUUUUGUUGGUUUCUAGGAUCACCGUAAUGAUUAAUAGGGAUAGUUGGGGGCAUUAGUAUUCAAUUGUCAGAGGUGAAAUUCUUGGAUUUAUUGAAGACUAACUUCUGCGAAAGCAUUUGCCAAGGAUGUUUUCAUUAAUCAAGAACGAAAGUUAGGGGAUCGAAGACGAUCAGAUACCGUCGU